UCCGGCAUGGUGUAGUGGCAACACACCCAUGAAUCGUUCCGAAGUGCAACAAAAAUGAAUGGGAGUCUGGAGUUCGAUUCUCCGUGUCUGAU
This is a non-coding RNA of Mycena latifolia, 92 nucleotides long. The record is from the annotation of a GenBank genome assembly. NCBI's taxonomy places the organism in Eukaryota, Fungi, Basidiomycota, Agaricomycetes, Agaricales, Mycenaceae.